GAUGAACGCUGGCGGCGUGCCUAAUACAUGCAAGUCGAGCGAACAGACGAGGAGCUUGCUCCUCUGACGUUAGCGGCGGACGGGUGAGUAACACGUGGAUAACCUACCUAUAAGACUGGGAUAACUUCGGGAAACCGGAGCUAAUACCGGAUAAUAUAUUGAACCGCAUGGUUCAAUAGUGAAAGACGGUUUUGCUGUCACUUAUAGAUGGAUCCGCGCCGCAUUAGCUAGUUGGUAAGGUAACGGCUUACCAACGCAACGAUGCGUAGCCGACCUGAGAGGGUGAUCGGCCACACUGUAACUGAGACACGGUCCAGACUCCUACGGGAGGCAGCAGUCGGGAAUCUUCCGCAAUGGGCGAAUGCCUGACGGUGCAACGCCGCGUGAAGGCUGAACGUCUUCGGCUCGUAAAACUCUGUUAUUAGGGAAGUACAAAUGUGUAAGUACCUAUGCACGUCUUGACGGUACCUAAUCAGAAAGCCACGGCUAACUACGUG
This 497-nucleotide ribosomal RNA is filed under the name uncultured bacterium. Its description in RNAcentral is "partial 16S ribosomal RNA". It matches the Rfam family "Bacterial small subunit ribosomal RNA", at positions 28 to 507 of the family's 1533-position model. The record is from RNAcentral.